Molecule: long non-coding RNA, 2516 nt
Organism: Sapajus apella (tufted capuchin)
Lineage: Eukaryota; Metazoa; Chordata; Mammalia; Primates; Cebidae
Exons: 4
Source: RefSeq, a predicted model, not a curated record
GUUUCAUGUUGGCCAGGCUGGUCUCAAACUCCUGACCUCAGAUGAUCCACCCGUAUGGGUCUCCCAAAGUGCUAGGAUUACAGGCAUGAGCUGCGGUACCUGGCCUCAACUGAACUUUAAUAAUUGGACUCUAAAUGAAAUUGGAACUCACUCAUUAUGUGAUUAAUGUACCAGGUCUGUUGAGUGUAUCCCCUGUGAGAUUUGUUCUCAUUAUUUUCCCCCUUUUUAAGAAUUGUGAAAAAGAAAGACCUCUUUGUAUGUCAAUAAACUGUGUGAUUCAUGAAAUCAUACUUUGAUCUUCUCCUUAUCUUAACCAUCCAAAAUAGAUUCAUUCCCCAAAUAAACUACUUGUACACAGGUCGUUGCUCAGGCUCUGCUGUUUGGGGGAUCCCAGGUUAAGCCAAUGGUAACCCAAAAGAGGCAUCUCAGCUUACCUUUCCCAACCCUGCUAAGGAGGAAUUGAUUGGUUUGGUUUGUGCUUUUUCUCCUUUAUUUCCCAAAUGCCCUGCCCUUUUUAGGGCACCAUGAGUAAACUCUGACAUAGAAAGUAGUAAGAGACUCCCAGGACAAAGGGCCAGCUGAAGGGUUGAGACUGGGUUAAGGGGUCAGACAAAGCAUUCUCAGCCCCAACUUAAACUUUCCCCUUGUUCUAUCAUUCUGGUUGUUGACUUUGGAACUGGAGAAACGUUCAGCUGUGAGGCUGAACACACAGUCUGUGGAAAUCAGGAUGCUCCCUACACAGCACAUACCAAGAUUCUGCCACCCUCACUCUACUUUAAAGCAGUUCCUCUCUGUUCAGGUACCAGGUCUCAGGCCAGGGUCCUCAGCAUUUAGCACACUCCCCUCAACCCAGGAGGGUAUGGUUGCAAAUUACCAAGCUAGUUUUGGGAGGGAAACAGUCCUUAGAGCCUGCCUUCAAGGAGAGUGCGAAAGGAAAGUAUCUUGGACCCCCAAAAUCACUAAGCUAAAGGGCAAAGUCAAACUGGGAACUGCUUAGGGCAAACUGCCUCCCAUUCCAUUCAGUCACCCCUCUGCUCACUGAGAGGGCCAAACCAAUGUUCAUUUUACAUACGUUGAUGGAUGGCUCCUGUCUCCCUAAAAUGCAUGAAACCAAGCUGUGUUCUGACCACCUUGGGCACAUAUUGUCAGGACCUCUUGAGGCUACGUCACGGGUGUGCAUCCUCAACCUUGGCAAAAUAAACUUUCUAAAUUAACUGAGAACUGUCUCAGAUUUUGGGAGUUCACAUUUUGGUAACUGUGGAGGGAUUCUGAGUGGAGAUGCCCCUGACCUUUGAUAAAAUCUACCGGUGCUUAGUACCAGCAUGAGCUAACCUUAUGGCUCAAACCAAUAGGAUGACUUGCUGAGGUCUGGGAACACCCUUUCCAGAGAAACCCUGAUCUCUGGUCAAGACCUAGAGUUUAUUUUGCUGUACAACUCCCCCCUACUACCAACCUUCUUUCUGAAUUUGCUUCCAACAUGGAAGGCAAGAUUUCCUGUUUCCAUUACAUAGAAGGAAGAUGACUCCUUUAGGGAGUCUGAGCUCACUCCCAGCAAGGAAGAUGAAUUCGAGUUUUUCCUGCUUCUAGGAUGGCAAAAGGCAGUCUUCAGCCUGAGACCCAUCUCUAGAAACAAGAAAACAACUGUUAACCUAUCUACAGCUUUUAACAAUUGAGUGAAGUAUACUUCUAUGAACAAAAUUUUGAGCAUAUUUGUUUCUCUCUACCUGAUUUCUCCAGGAUUUGGGAACUAUUUGCUCAUAGGUAGAAGGGACUGCCUUGUCUCAGAUAAGACUUUGUACUAUGGACUUUGGAGUUAAUGCUGAAGCCUUCUCCCUAUACUCAGUUACAGCAACGAACUCCCUUCUUUCCCAGUUUAUCUGCAUCUCAUUACUGGGCUGCAAGAAUAAGCAACCUAACCUUCGGUUUGGUCCAGGAACAAGUUGAGGUAUGCCUGCCUACAGUGACAGCUAUGCAGGAGACUGAGACAGGAGGAUUCCUUGAGCCCAGGAGUUUGAGGCUGCAGUGAGGUAUGAUUGCAGCACUACACUCCAGCCUGGACAAAAUAGCAAGUCCCCAUUUCUAAAUAAAUAAAUAAACAAAUAAACAAUUUUGAAAGACAAAAGUAUAUAAUGAGAUUCUCAACUCCUAAAACUGAUUGGAUUUUCUGAACUUCAAAUUCUGUUUUUUUCAAUGAAUAUCUAAUUUAUUACAAUAAGCUGUUUUAAAAAACAAGAUACAAAACCACAUGCUUAUUUUGCCUAACUCUUUUUCCAGUUCUUUUCCCAAUGAAUAUAUAUUAUUUUUACUUCUGCCUAUUGCUACCAGGGACAGAGCCUGCUCUUUCAAGUAGAAAAUCUAAUUGCAAAGCUGUUGCCUCUCUGUUCGGGUUAACAGUGCCUUUUCCAAAGGCUUAUUCACUCCUCCCCAGCCUCCUCCCUCUCUACCAGGCCUUACCCAUGGCUCGAAUUUUCUUCUCACUGACAGCCCUCACAUUCAAGUUCAACUUUCUCUCACCU